AAGUCGUAACAAGGUUUCCGUAGGUGAACCUGCGGAAGGAUCAUUAUCACGUAUCCACGUAUAAACCAUUGUGAACUUUAACUCUUUUUUUUAAAAAAGAAAGUAGGAUUUUGCGUUAAUUCGCAUCAUUCUCUUUUUUUUUAAAAAUAAUUAACUAUUUAAACCUUUAAUUAACAAUUGAACUGAUUUUAUUUCUUACUCUUCGGAGAAGAAAUUUUAUUACGAAACAAAGAACAACUCUUAGCAACGGAUAUCUUGGUUCUC
This 264-nucleotide unclassified non-coding RNA is filed under the name fungal sp. RNAcentral describes it as "partial internal transcribed spacer region". The stretch from base 1 to 46 matches the Rfam family "Eukaryotic small subunit ribosomal RNA", at positions 1786 to 1831 of the family's 1831-position model. The record is from RNAcentral. Lineage: Eukaryota; Fungi.